RNAcentral lists this ribosomal RNA (2881 nucleotides) under Pseudomonas savastanoi pv. glycinea. RNAcentral describes it as "bacterial LSU rRNA". It matches the Rfam family "Bacterial large subunit ribosomal RNA". Lineage: Bacteria; Pseudomonadati; Pseudomonadota; Gammaproteobacteria; Pseudomonadales; Pseudomonadaceae. RNAcentral also lists the same sequence under 1 other name. The record is from RNAcentral.
AGAAGCGCAUACGGUGGAUGCCUUGGCAGUCAGAGGCGAUGAAAGACGUGGUAGCCUGCGAAAAGCUUCGGGGAGUCGGCAAACAGACUGUGAUCCGGAGAUGUCUGAAUGGGGGAACCCAGCCAUCAUAAGAUGGUUAUCUUGUACUGAAUACAUAGGUGCAAGAGGCGAACCAGGGGAACUGAAACAUCUAAGUACCCUGAGGAAAAGAAAUCAACCGAGAUUCCCUUAGUAGUGGCGAGCGAACGGGGACCAGCCCUUAAGUUGUAUUGAGAUUAGCGGAACGUUCUGGAAAGGACGGCCAUAGUGGGUGAUAGCCCUGUACGCGAAAAUCCCUUUGCAAUGAAAUCGAGUAGGACGGGGCACGAGAAACCUUGUCUGAAUAUGGGGGGACCAUCCUCCAAGGCUAAAUACUACUGACUGACCGAUAGUGAACCAGUACCGUGAGGGAAAGGCGAAAAGAACCGCGGAGAGCGGAGUGAAAUAGAUCCUGAAACCGUAUGCGUACAAGCAGUGGGAGCCCACUUUGUUGGGUGACUGCGUACCUUUUGUAUAAUGGGUCAGCGACUUAUUUUCAGUGGCGAGCUUAACCGAAUAGGGGAGGCGUAGCGAAAGCGAGUCUUAAUAGGGCGUCUAGUCGCUGGGAAUAGACCCGAAACCGGGCGAUCUAUCCAUGGGCAGGUUGAAGGUUGGGUAACACUAACUGGAGGACCGAACCGACUACCGUUGAAAAGUUAGCGGAUGACCUGUGGAUCGGAGUGAAAGGCUAAUCAAGCUCGGAGAUAGCUGGUUCUCCUCGAAAGCUAUUUAGGUAGCGCCUCAUGUAUCACUGUAGGGGGUAGAGCACUGUUUCGGCUAGGGGGUCAUCCCGACUUACCAAACCGAUGCAAACUCCGAAUACCUACAAGUGCCGAGCAUGGGAGACACACGGCGGGUGCUAACGUCCGUCGUGAAAAGGGAAACAACCCAGACCGUCAGCUAAGGUCCCAAAGUCAUGGUUAAGUGGGAAACGAUGUGGGAAGGCUUAGACAGCUAGGAGGUUGGCUUAGAAGCAGCCACCCUUUAAAGAAAGCGUAAUAGCUCACUAGUCGAGUCGGCCUGCGCGGAAGAUGUAACGGGGCUCAAACCAUGCACCGAAGCUACGGGUAUCAUCUUUUGAUGAUGCGGUAGAGGAGCGUUCUGUAAGCCUGUGAAGGUGAGUUGAGAAGCUUGCUGGAGGUAUCAGAAGUGCGAAUGCUGACAUGAGUAACGACAAUGGGUGUGAAAAACACCCACGCCGAAAGACCAAGGUUUCCUGCGCAACGUUAAUCGACGCAGGGUUAGUCGGCCCCUAAGGCGAGGCUGAAAAGCGUAGUCGAUGGAAAACAGGUUAAUAUUCCUGUACUUCUGGUUAUUGCGAUGGAGGGACGGAGAAGGCUAGGCCAGCCUGGCGUUGGUUGUCCAGGUUUAAGGUGGUAGGCUGAGAUCUUAGGUAAAUCCGGGAUUUCAAGGCCGAGAGCUGAUGACGAGUGUUCUUUAGAACACGAAGUGGUUGAUGCCAUGCUUCCAAGAAAAGCUUCUAAGCUUCAGGUAACCAGGAACCGUACCCCAAACCGACACAGGUGGUUGGGUAGAGAAUACCAAGGCGCUUGAGAGAACUCGGGUGAAGGAACUAGGCAAAAUGGCACCGUAACUUCGGGAGAAGGUGCGCCGGUGAGGGUGAAGCAUUUACUGCGUAAGCCCACGCCGGUCGAAGAUACCAGGCCGCUGCGACUGUUUAUUAAAAACACAGCACUCUGCAAACACGAAAGUGGACGUAUAGGGUGUGACGCCUGCCCGGUGCCGGAAGGUUAAUUGAUGGGGUUAGCGCAAGCGAAGCUCUUGAUCGAAGCCCCGGUAAACGGCGGCCGUAACUAUAACGGUCCUAAGGUAGCGAAAUUCCUUGUCGGGUAAGUUCCGACCUGCACGAAUGGCGUAACGAUGGCGGCGCUGUCUCCACCCGAGACUCAGUGAAAUUGAAAUCGCUGUGAAGAUGCAGUGUAUCCGCGGCUAGACGGAAAGACCCCGUGAACCUUUACUAUAGCUUUGCACUGGACUUUGAAUUUGCUUGUGUAGGAUAGGUGGGAGGCUUUGAAGCGUGGACGCCAGUCUGCGUGGAGCCAACCUUGAAAUACCACCCUGGCAACUUUGAGGUUCUAACUCAGGUCCGUUAUCCGGAUCGAGGACAGUGUAUGGUGGGUAGUUUGACUGGGGCGGUCUCCUCCUAAAGAGUAACGGAGGAGUACGAAGGUGCGCUCAGACCGGUCGGAAAUCGGUCGUAGAGUAUAAAGGCAAAAGCGCGCUUGACUGCGAGACAGACACGUCGAGCAGGUACGAAAGUAGGUCUUAGUGAUCCGGUGGUUCUGUAUGGAAGGGCCAUCGCUCAACGGAUAAAAGGUACUCCGGGGAUAACAGGCUGAUACCGCCCAAGAGUUCAUAUCGACGGCGGUGUUUGGCACCUCGAUGUCGGCUCAUCACAUCCUGGGGCUGAAGCCGGUCCCAAGGGUAUGGCUGUUCGCCAUUUAAAGUGGUACGCGAGCUGGGUUUAGAACGUCGUGAGACAGUUCGGUCCCUAUCUGCCGUGGACGUUUGAGAUUUGAGAGGGGCUGCUCCUAGUACGAGAGGACCGGAGUGGACGAACCUCUGGUGUUCCGGUUGUCACGCCAGUGGCAUUGCCGGGUAGCUAUGUUCGGAAAAGAUAACCGCUGAAAGCAUCUAAGCGGGAAACUUGCCUCAAGAUGAGAUCUCACUGGAACCUUGAGUUCCCUAAAGGGCCGUCGAAGACUACGACGUUGAUAGGUUGGGUGUGUAAGCGCUGUGAGGCGUUGAGCUAACCAAUACUAAUUGCCCGUGAGGCUUGACC